UACGAAGGGGGCGAGCGUUGUUCGGAGUUACUGGGCGUAAAGGGCGCGUAGGCGGCGAUCCAAGUUAGGCGUGAAAGCCCCGGGCUUAACCUGGGAAUUGCGCUUAAGACUGGACUGCUUGAGUGCGGGAGAGGUGAGUGGAAUUCCCAGUGUAGAGGUGAAAUUCGUAGAUAUUCGCAAGAACACCGGUGGCGAAGGCGGCAUCCUGGACCAACACUGACACUGAGGAGCGAAAGCCAGGGGAGCAAACGGG
This 253-nucleotide ribosomal RNA is filed under the name uncultured bacterium. RNAcentral's name for it is "partial 16S ribosomal RNA". It matches the Rfam family "Bacterial small subunit ribosomal RNA", at positions 524 to 776 of the family's 1533-position model. The record is from RNAcentral.